GCUGAUGUAGCUCAGUCGGUAGAGCAACUGAUUCGUAAUCAGUAGGUCGCGGGUUCGAUUCCCGCCAUUAGCUCCA
Molecule: transfer RNA, 76 nt
Filed under: Bacillota bacterium
Lineage: Bacteria; Bacillati; Bacillota
Description: tRNA-Thr
Rfam family: tRNA
About the family: Transfer RNA (tRNA) molecules are approximately 80 nucleotides in length.
Source: RNAcentral